Long non-coding RNA from Lynx canadensis (Canada lynx), 90 nucleotides. RefSeq lists it as uncharacterized. The transcript has 3 exons. Lineage: Eukaryota; Metazoa; Chordata; Mammalia; Carnivora; Felidae. The record is from RefSeq and is a predicted model, not a curated record.
GAUGAGCACUGGGUAAUGAAAUUGUUGAAUCACUAUAUUGUGCACCUGAAACAACGAUAUCACUAUAUAUUAACUACACUCUAAUUAAAA